RNAcentral lists this unclassified non-coding RNA (212 nucleotides) under plant metagenome. RNAcentral's name for it is "partial contains small subunit ribosomal RNA and internal transcribed spacer 1". The record is from RNAcentral.
AAGUCGUAACAAGGUCUCCGUAGGUGAACCUGCGGGGGAUCGGAUUACCGAUGAUCGAGGUGCCCGGGUCCCGGCCGACCUCCCCAACCCUUUGUUUGACCAACACCUCAGUUGCCUCGGGGUGACCCGGCCCUCUCGGUCCGGGGCCCCCGUGGACCACACAUCAACGCUGCAUCUCUGCGUCGGAGUCAUUGAAGCGAAUUCAAUCAAAA